GUGAAAUGCGAUAAGUAAUGUGAAUUGCAGAAUCUCGUGAAUCAUUGAAUCUUUGAACGCACAUUGCGCCCUAUGGUAUUCCGUAGGGCAUGCCUGUCUGAGCGUCAGCUCGUCUUCUCAAGCUCUUUUGCUUGGAUAACAUUGGGGAAGCAAUACACGGUCGAUCCGGGCUCUGUGUGCUCCCCAGAAAUUUAUAGGCGGUACGGUUCUAGCAAACCAGACGUAAUAAUUCUUUAUCUCGUCCUUUGUUUUGGAGCUGUUGCUUGCCUCUUAAUCCACAUCUUUUUUCAAGAUUGACCUCAGAUCAGGUAGGGAUACCCGCUGAACUUAAGC
RNAcentral lists this unclassified non-coding RNA (333 nucleotides) under plant metagenome. RNAcentral describes it as "partial contains 5.8S ribosomal RNA, internal transcribed spacer 2, and large subunit ribosomal RNA". The stretch from base 1 to 107 matches the Rfam family "5.8S ribosomal RNA", at positions 48 to 154 of the family's 154-position model. The record is from RNAcentral.